UACGUAGGGGGCAAGCGUUGUCCGGAAUCAUUGGGCGUAAAGCGCGUGUAGGCGGCUCGGUAAGUCCGCUCUGAAAGUCCAAGGCUCAACCUUGGGAUGCGGGUGGAUACUGCCGGGCUCGAGUCCGGAAGAGGCGAGUGGAAUUCCUGGUGUAGCGGUGAAAUGCGUAGAUAUCUGGAGGAACACCGGUGGCGAAGGCGGCAUCCUGGACCGGUAUUGACGCUGAUGCGCGAAAGCCAGGGGAGCAAACGGG
Molecule: ribosomal RNA, 253 nt
Filed under: uncultured bacterium
Lineage: Bacteria
Description: partial 16S ribosomal RNA
Rfam family: Bacterial small subunit ribosomal RNA
Source: RNAcentral